RNAcentral lists this small RNA (49 nucleotides) under Arabidopsis thaliana (thale cress). RNAcentral's name for it is "ATSL287020". Lineage: Eukaryota; Viridiplantae; Streptophyta; Magnoliopsida; Brassicales; Brassicaceae. The record is from RNAcentral.
GAGAGAUCAGAUUUUCCAUCGUCCUCUACUCCUCGUUUCCCCAAUAUCA